This 982-nucleotide ribosomal RNA is filed under the name human gut metagenome. Its description in RNAcentral is "bacterial LSU rRNA". It matches the Rfam family "Bacterial large subunit ribosomal RNA", at positions 1942 to 2925 of the family's 2925-position model. The record is from RNAcentral.
AUAACGGUCCUAAGGUAGCGAAAUUCCUUGUCGGGUAAGUUCCGACCCGCACGAAAGGUGUAACGAUUUGGGCACUGUCUCAACGAGGGACCCGGUGAAAUUGAAAUACCUGUGAAGAUGCAGGUUACCCGCGACUGGACAGAAAGACCCCAUGGAGCUUUACUGUAACCUGACAUUGGGUUUUGUUGUAUUACGUACAGGAUAGGUGGGAGGCUUGGAAGGCUGGACGCUAGUCUGGCUGGAGCCGGCGUUGGGAUACCACCCUUGAUACAACGGAAUUCUAACCGAGAGAGUAACGAAAUCCGGGACAGUGUCAGGCGGGCAGUUUGACUGGGGCGGUCGCCUCCGAAAGAGUAACGGAGGCGCCCAAAGGUUCCCUCAGCGCGGCCGGAAAUCGCGCGAAGAGUGUAAAGGCAGAAGGGAGCUUGACUGCGAGCCAAACACGGCGAGCAGGUACGAAAGUAGGGCUUAGUGAUCCGGUGGUACCGAGUGGAAGGGCCAUCGCUCAACGGAUAAAAGCUACCCUGGGGAUAACAGGCUAAUCUCUCCCAAGAGUCCAUAUCGACGGGGAGGUUUGGCACCUCGAUGUCGGCUCAUCACAUCCUGGGGCUGAAGUCGGUCCCAAGGGUUGGGCUGUUCGCCCAUUAAAGUGGUACGUGAGCUGGGUUCAGAACGUCGUGAGACAGUUCGGUCCCUAUCCAUCGCGGGCGCAAGAGAUUUGAAGGGGUCUGCUCCUAGUACGAGAGGACCGGAGUGGACGGACCGCUGGUGUACCAGUUAUUCCGCCAGGAGUACAGCUGGGUAGCUACGUCCGGACUGGAUAAACGCUGAAAGCAUCUAAGCGUGAAGCCAUCCUUAAGAUGAGAUCUCUCACAGAGUAAUCUGGUAAGACACCUUAAAGAAGAUGAGGUAGAUAGGCCGGGAGUGUAAGUGCAGCAAUGUAUUGAGCUGACCGGUACUAAUAUGUCGAGGGCUUGACUUC